UCCAGACUCCUACGGGAGGCAGCAGUGGGGAAUAUUGGACAAUGGGGGGAACCCUGAUGCAGCGACGCCGCGUGGGUGAAGGAGCACCUCGGUGCGUAAAGCCCUAUCGGCAGGGAAGAAAAGCGAACAGGUUCGCCUGGACGGUACCUGACUAAGAAGCCCCGGCUAAAUACGUGCCAGCAGCCGCGGGAAUACGUAGGGGGCAAGCGUUAUCCGGAUUCACUGGGUGUAAAGGGAGCGUAGACGGCGGCGCAAGUCUGGAGUGAAAGCCCGGGGCCCAACCCCGGGACUGCUCUGGAAACUGCGGCGCUGGAGUACGGGAGGGGCAGGCGGAAUUCCUGGUGUAGCGGUGAAAUGCGUAGAUAUUAGGAGGAACACUAGUGGCGAAGGCGGCCUGCUGGGCUUUAACUGACGCUGAGGCUCGAAAGCGUGGGUAGCAAACAGGAUUAGAUACCCGAGUA
Molecule: ribosomal RNA, 461 nt
Filed under: uncultured bacterium
Lineage: Bacteria
Description: bacterial SSU rRNA
Rfam family: Bacterial small subunit ribosomal RNA
Source: RNAcentral